UACGUAGGCAGCAAGCGUCGUUCGGAGUUACUGGGCGUAAAGGGUGUGUAGGCGGUUGUUUAAGUUUGGUGUGAAAUCUCCCGGCUCAACUGGGAGGGUGCGCCGAAUACUGAAUGACUUGGAGUGCGGGAGAGGAAAGUGGAAUUCCUGGUGUAGCGGUGAAAUGCGUAGAUAUCGCUUGGAACGCCGGCGGUGAAAACGGACAGCUGGGGGUCAGCCGACGCUGAGACACGAAAGCCAGGGGAGCGAACAGG
This 254-nucleotide ribosomal RNA is filed under the name uncultured bacterium. RNAcentral describes it as "partial 16S ribosomal RNA". It matches the Rfam family "Bacterial small subunit ribosomal RNA", at positions 524 to 776 of the family's 1533-position model. The record is from RNAcentral.